UACGUAGGGUGCGAGCGUUGUCCGGAAUCAUUGGGCGUAAAGAGCGUGUAGGCGGCUUGUUAAGUCUUGCGUGAAAUCUCGGGGCUCAACCCCGAGCGGUCGUGAGAAACUGGCAGGCUAGAGUGCGGGAGAGGAGAGUGGAAUUCCGAGUGUAGAGGUGAAAUUCGUAAAUAUUCGGAAGAACACCAGUGGCGAAGGCGGCUCACUGGCCCGUUACCGACGCUCAGGCGCGACAGCGUGGGGAGCAAACAGGG
RNAcentral lists this ribosomal RNA (254 nucleotides) under uncultured bacterium. Its description in RNAcentral is "partial 16S ribosomal RNA". It matches the Rfam family "Bacterial small subunit ribosomal RNA", at positions 524 to 777 of the family's 1533-position model. The record is from RNAcentral.